RNAcentral lists this ribosomal RNA (504 nucleotides) under uncultured bacterium. RNAcentral describes it as "partial 16S ribosomal RNA". It matches the Rfam family "Bacterial small subunit ribosomal RNA", at positions 29 to 523 of the family's 1533-position model. The record is from RNAcentral.
AUUGAACGCUGGCGGCAGGCCUAACACAUGCAAGUCGAACGGUAGCACAGAGAGCUUGCUCUCGGGUGACGAGUGGCGGACGGGUGAGUAACGUCUGGGAAACUGCCCGAUGGAGGGGGAUAACUACUGGAAACGGUAGCUAAUACCGCAUAACGUCGCAAGACCAAAGUGGGGGACCUUCGGGCCUCACACCAUCGGAUGGGCCCAGAUGGGAUUAGCUAGUAGGUGGGGUAAUGGCUCACCUAGGCGACGAUCCCUAGCUGGUCUGAGGGGAUGACCAGCCACACUGGAACUGAGACACGGUCCAGACUCCUACGGGAGGCAGCAGUGGGGAAUAUUGCACAAUGGGCGCAAGCCUGAUGCAGCCAUGCCGCGUGUAUGAAGAAGGCCUUCGGGUUGUAAAGUACUUUCAGCGGGGAGGAAGGCGGUGAAGUUAAUAACUUCACCGAUUGACGUUACCCGCAGAAGAAGCACCGGCUAACUCCGUGCCAGCAGCCGCCGUAA